This 528-nucleotide ribosomal RNA is filed under the name Pichia sporocuriosa. Its description in RNAcentral is "partial large subunit ribosomal RNA". Lineage: Eukaryota; Fungi; Ascomycota; Pichiomycetes; Pichiales; Pichiaceae. The record is from RNAcentral.
AGCGGGCGAGUGAGCGGCAAGAGCUCAGAUUUGAAAUCGUGUUUCGGCACGAGUUGUAAAUUGCAGGUUGGAGUCUUUGUGGAAGUGCGUGUCCAAGUCCCUUGGAACAGGGCGCCAKUGAGGGUGAGAGCCCCGUGGGAUGCGCAUUGAAGCUGUAAGGCCCUUCUGACGAGUCGAGUUGUUUGGGAAUGCAGCUCUAAGCGGGUGGUAAAUUCCAUCUAAGGCUAAAUAUUGGCGAGAGACCGAUAGCGAACAAGUACUGUGAAGGAAAGAUGAAAAGCACUUUGAAAAGAGAGUGAAACAGCACGUGAAAUUGUUGAAAGGGAAGGGUAUUGGGUCCGACAUGGGGACUGCGCAUCGUUGCUUCUUGUAGGCGGCGCUCUGUGCUCUCUCUGGGCCAGCAUCGGUUUUUGCCGCAGGAUAAGGGGCGUUGGAACGUGGCUCCUCGGAGUGUUAUAGCCAACGCCAGAUGCUGCGAGCGGGGACCGAGGGCUGCGACAUUUGUCUCGGAUGCUGGCAUAACGGCUC